Molecule: long non-coding RNA, 378 nt
Organism: Benincasa hispida (wax gourd)
Lineage: Eukaryota; Viridiplantae; Streptophyta; Magnoliopsida; Cucurbitales; Cucurbitaceae
Source: RefSeq, a predicted model, not a curated record
CCCACAUCCUCCACGCUCCGUUCCAUUGUGGAAGCUUAUUUUCCACUGUAUGAUUAGAGAGAUUUUUUUCGGAAAGCGUAGAAAUCAACCGUUUCAAGCCACUCAUUCCAGCAAGAGUUAGUGGGGAGGGGAGAGGGCUUCCCGGAAAAGAAGAAGUUUUCUAUUUCAACUCACAAGGCUAGGUCUUGGAUUUACACAAGGAAGAUGAUUCAAAAACAACUUUGACCUCACAAAAUAUAAAGGAGUACUAUCCCUUGAUACAUUUUUGCAGUUUUCAUCACACUUUGGUGGAACUUUACGCAUCCCUGAAUGCUCAUCAAUCGCCAUCAUCACUUUAUCAGGAACCCUGUUCUCUGUUUCAUACUUCUUCACACUACG